Pelobates cultripes (western spadefoot toad) is the source of this 256-nucleotide non-coding RNA. Lineage: Eukaryota; Metazoa; Chordata; Amphibia; Anura; Pelobatidae. The record is from the annotation of a GenBank genome assembly.
CUGUAACAUUGAUUUAGCAGCGCCAGUGUCCAACAGGAAAGGGACUAUUCGGUCCCUGGGCAGUGUAACAUUGAUAAUGGGUGAGGGUCCUGCAGAGUCAGGGAUAUUUAUAAUAUGUAGGGACACUGGUUUGCCAAUUUCCUAUUGGGGGGAGGGGGGGAGGUGGUGGAGGUGGUUGGCUGUCAUGGGAGUUAUCAUUAGAAUCCUGGGGUUUUCUAUUUUUAGGAGGACACUUGCAGUUACGUUUAAUGUGUCC